UCUGCAAUGAGUUGACAUUGAUGUCAAGUAUGAGGCAUCAUGGUAGAUAUGAAGAUGGGAGAGUUACCAGAGAGAAGAAGGUGUAGAAACAGGUGAGUUUGAGCAUGAAGAAGACUGUUCUGAGAGGGAGGAGCAGAGUCCCUCUUGACCAUUUCUGGAGAAUGGCUUCUCUCUUGCUGACGGAGAGCUCUGAGAAUUUAUGAAGGAAGGGCCAUUUCCAAUCCAGAGAAGCGCCGCCGCACAGCAAGAGGGUGCCCAGCCG
RNAcentral lists this long non-coding RNA (262 nucleotides) under Salvia miltiorrhiza (redroot sage). RNAcentral describes it as "long non-coding RNA (SMIL_LNC008331)". Lineage: Eukaryota; Viridiplantae; Streptophyta; Magnoliopsida; Lamiales; Lamiaceae. The record is from RNAcentral.